Molecule: ribosomal RNA, 265 nt
Filed under: uncultured archaeon
Lineage: Archaea
Description: partial 16S ribosomal RNA
Rfam family: Archaeal small subunit ribosomal RNA
Source: RNAcentral
AGUCACUGACAUUAGAUACCCGCGUAGUCCCAGCCGUAAACAAUGUGCGUUAGGUGUGUCGGUAACCACGUGUUACUGAUGCGCCGAAGAGAAAUCGUGAAACGCACCACCUGGGAAGUACGGUCGCAAGGCUGAAACUUAAAGGAAUUGGCGGGGGAGCACCACAACAGGUGGAGCCUGCGGUUUAAUUGGAUUCAACGCCGGACAUCUCACCGGAUAAGACAGCUGAAUGAUUGUCAAUCUGAAGGUUUUACAUGACUAGCUG